UACGUAGGGGGCAAGCGUUGUCCGGAUUUAUUGGGCGUAAAGAGCGUGUAGGCGGCCGCACAGGUCCGUUGUGAAAACUGGAGGCUUAACCUUCAGACGUCGAUGGAAACCGUGCGGCUAGAGUCCGGAAGAGGAGUGUGGAAUUCCUGGUGUAGCGGUGAAAUGCGUAGAUAUCUGGAGGAACACCGGUGGCGAAGGCGGCAUCCUGGACCGGUAUUGACGCUGAGGCGCGAAAGCCAGGGGAGCAAACGGG
RNAcentral lists this ribosomal RNA (253 nucleotides) under uncultured bacterium. RNAcentral describes it as "partial 16S ribosomal RNA". It matches the Rfam family "Bacterial small subunit ribosomal RNA", at positions 524 to 776 of the family's 1533-position model. The record is from RNAcentral.